CUGGCUUUUUAGCCCAAAGACAACAACAUUCCUUCUCUAAAGUUGCAGGGGAAGGCUGGUCUGGACAUGAAUGUGGCUGAAGCUCAAAACUCCUUCCCCCGGUAGCCUGGUGUGUGGUUAUAUUCUAAGGAAAAUGGCUUCCUGUGUGACUCAUUUGAGAGCACUGUGCCACUAGCAAGCUAUAAUGCUGACAAGUUCCUCGUGAUGGCUAGGAGGAUAGUAGUUGUAUGGAGGAGAAAUUUCCCAGCACCUGAUUUUUAUGGCAUAUGAUCAUGGCAAAACCCGCACCUGCUGCAGCGUGUUUUCCGGCAUGGUUGCUAGCUGAUUGUAACAUUUGUGGGAAGAAGCUUCCUCUUCCUGCACCCUAAGAAAACAUUGUCAUGCUUGUGACAGCAGUGUGUACUUUGGUCUCUGCAACAGGUUUCUGGACCACCUGUUAUCCACUGUGACAUCAUAGGGCAACAUCCCAGCAACAGUGAGUGAAACAGAACAGAUUUUCCAUUUCCUCUCUGGGAACGGUGCCCUUUGAAAAGAAUAGGAAGACAUUCUCAAGGUAGCAAGCGGAGGACUAAGAGUCAUUUACAUUGCCUGUCCUAGGAGAAAUGGCUUAUUUUGGACCCCAAGCUUGUGAAACAGGGCAUUUUGGAUAGAUCCAUGUGUGAGACAGAUUCUAAUUCUAGUUAGGCUCACUGUGGGCAAUUGCAUAGGUAAGAUCAGUCAUAGGUUCUCUUCAAAGGAUGAGUGAAAUGACCAGAACCAUAGGGAUUAUUUUUUGAAUCCUUGAGGUUCUCAGGCUUAGUCUGGCACUUCAAGGAUCCCCUAUAUGCUAUUAAUAAUGUUUCCAUUUUCUUUUCAGGGAUCCUUGUAGUACCAGACUGGGGCUGAGAGCCUCAAGGUUUGUAAAUAAGCCCUGUGGUUCUGGCCAUUUUACUUGUCCUUUAGAGAGAACCACUAAUGCCCUUCCAACCUCAUAAUGAUUGCGGCGAGGAAUAUCAACAAGGAAAUCUCCGUUCAACAGAAGAGAGCUUUGAGGAAAGAGAAGCUAAGAAAGGGAGUAAAUAUGGGUAAAAAGGACACUGCACAUGUGGGAAGUCCACCAUAAAGGAAGAAUCACAGGAAAGAGGUAAGCCUGUAAAGUCCCAGGAUCAAGGUUAAAGGCCCUUUUCUCUCUCUUUGACCUUCAGGUGCUCACUUGGAUCUCUUCCAUGGGUUCUUUUUUUUCUUUCCUAUUCUAAAGCCUUUUUAAUAAACUUCCACUUCUGCUCUGUAACAUGCCUCAGUCUCUUUUUGGCUUUCUGCCCCUCAGUUGAAUCCUUCUAAGGAGGCAAGGGCUGAAGCUGCUACAGACCUGCACGGAUACCCCGCCAGUGACUUAGGGUAACGUGGAUCUCUUCUACCCUAAUAGUGAUAUGAACAGGAGAUAGGGAAACACCAGGUAGAAGAGGGUGGUCCCCUGAAAAGGCCCC
Molecule: long non-coding RNA, 1466 nt
Filed under: Papio anubis (olive baboon)
Lineage: Eukaryota; Metazoa; Chordata; Mammalia; Primates; Cercopithecidae
Description: lncRNA (ENSPANG00000042034.1)
Source: RNAcentral